AUGCUGUAUAACUUCAGCAGGUUUGGGGCCGUUAUUAUUGUCUAUGUCCAGCAAUGCCCUUUUAAAUCAUAAUGACAGAUUAAAUACCUCUUUCCAUGUGCAUUAGAGAAAUAAGCAUGCUUAAGGAAAGUACUGUUUAUUACUAGUAUUGUUCCCGAAACUGUUCUUAAAGAUUAUUUUGUUCUCUUAAAAGUACUUAGGUAUUAAUGCUAACUACAGGGAGGAGUUGAUGAUAAAUGUUUGCAGAAACUUAAAAAAUUGUAAGUUUUUACCCAUAUAGUUAAUUUCACUUUAAUAAGCCUUGAGGGGCUAAGUUACUCUGUGGUAAUGAGUUAUAUUUACACUUUACUUUUCUGGAACUCAUCCAAGAAUAAGAAUAAAAAGAAGUACUGCUCACCUACCCUGGCCCCCUGUGGAUGCACUUUUCUUAUGUGAGAAUUCCUGAGGCUGUUAUAUGGAUAGUAAUAAUCCAUUUAUUAGUAACUAACACUCAUUGUCUGGUGUUAGUUCAUAAGUCCUUUGCAGAUGAGAAGUAGAAAAUCAGACGUAAGGAAUGAAACUACGGUGAGAAUAUUGAAGCUGACAGAGAAAUUGACAGGAAAACUAUUAAAAACCACAUAAGAACUGAAAAUGUACAGCAGUCUAGAACUCUACCCACAAUGAUAUAUCUCAAGUCAUCAUAUAUUACAUGCAGUGCAGUAGUUAACAUUCAUAAUGAUGAUUCCGAGGCAUCAAAAUAAUGCUAAAUUAUUUCUAUUCCCUUACUUUUUAGUACUUCUAUUAGUAAUAGCCUAUAUUUGCAUAUGGAUUUUCUAUUUGCAAAGCAUUUUAACUUAUACUUUUUAAUCUUCACAGUAACCUGCGUAAGUUAGGUGAGGCAGAUACUCUUAUUCUCUUACAGAUAAAGAUACAGGUAUGGAGAGGUCACUGAAAGAGCUCACUGCAGUUAAGGGUGAAAUCUUUCGAAUCCAAGUGUCAUUUCAUUGCUCCAAAUUAUUUCUCUAACACGUUACUCUGGGUCCAUUGUUUUUUGCUGUUUUCACUGACACUUGACUGCAUUCCUGCAUCAUUGUAUUACUGUAUGUUUCGCCCAGUAUUUUGCAUUUCUAAGCUCUAUAAUUUUUCAGAAGUAGAAUUAUUACAUAGUCAUGUAAUGAUUCGAAGUUAACUGAAUAUCUGGAAUGGAUCUUCCUAUAGAUAAGAUGGUAAGGAUUAUCACUUUCUCCCAAUUUUAUUAUCUUUGUUACUACAGAAAUCCCAGGCUAUUGAGCAUCUUGUUUUCCUGAAUCCUCAGGCUUGUAAAGAACAGUCAAAUGGGGAAAGAGUCUUUCCUAUCAAAAUAAUCUUGAGCAGUCCUUGAAUUUCUAAAUAAAUGUAGCCUAGAAAAUUAAAAUAUUUAAAUAUAUUACUUGUGUUCCAGUUGGUCAGUUUUUCAAAUAGUUGUUAUGACGUAUGUGCUUUAUUUUGAGGCCAUACCUUUAAGACCCAUUUCCACACAGAAGCUAAUAAACACUGGAAAAUUGGCAGGAGGCAAAGGAAAAAAUAAAGAGGUAAAACCAAUAGAAAAGAAGGUUAAAAAUAGUAAUUGCCCUACUGAGAAAUUUGCACUAGAAAAAGUCUGACAAUAGAGAACAAAGCCUAUAAUAUGGUGACAAAAGAGAAUAGUUAUUAGUUGGGUACAGGAAAAAGUUACCUAAUACCCACUUCAGUUUCACAUUAAUAACCCCAAGGCAUCAGUGUGCUAGGCUAAUGGCACAAGGACUAGCUAAGCUGUCUAGAGGCAAAGGGAGAGGAGG
Molecule: long non-coding RNA, 1796 nt
Organism: Miniopterus natalensis
Lineage: Eukaryota; Metazoa; Chordata; Mammalia; Chiroptera; Miniopteridae
Source: RefSeq, a predicted model, not a curated record